Molecule: transfer RNA, 88 nt
Filed under: Desulfobacca acetoxidans
Lineage: Bacteria; Pseudomonadati; Thermodesulfobacteriota; Desulfobaccia; Desulfobaccales; Desulfobaccaceae
Also listed under: 1 other name
Description: tRNA-Leu
Rfam family: tRNA
About the family: Transfer RNA (tRNA) molecules are approximately 80 nucleotides in length. Their secondary structure includes four short double-helical elements and three loops (D, anti-codon, and T loops). Further hydrogen bonds mediate the characteristic L-shaped molecular structure. tRNAs have two regions of fundamental functional importance: the anti-codon, which is responsible for specific mRNA codon recognition, and the 3' end, to which the tRNAs corresponding amino acid is attached (by aminoacyl-tRNA synthetases). tRNAs cope with the degeneracy of the genetic code in two manners: having more than one tRNA (with a specific anti-codon) for a particular amino acid; and 'wobble' base-pairing, i.e. permitting non-standard base-pairing at the 3rd anti-codon position.
Source: RNAcentral
GCCGGAGUGGUGGAAUGGGUAGACGCAGGGGACUCAAAAUCCCCCGGGGUUCGUCCCCGUGCGAGUUCGAGUCUCGCCUCCGGCACCA